Molecule: ribosomal RNA, 497 nt
Filed under: uncultured bacterium
Lineage: Bacteria
Description: partial 16S ribosomal RNA
Rfam family: Bacterial small subunit ribosomal RNA
Source: RNAcentral
GAUGAACGCUGGCGGCGUGCCUAAUACAUGCAAGUCGAGCGAACAGACGAGGAGCUUGCUCCUCUGACGUUAGCGGCGGACGGGUGAGUAACACGUGGAUAACCUACCUAUAAGACUGGGAUAACUUCGGGAAACCGGAGCUAAUACCGGAUAAUAUAUUGAACCGCAUGGUUCAAUAGUGAAAUACGGUUUUGCUGUAACUUAUAGAUGGAUCCCCGCCGCAUGAGCUAGUUGGUAAGGUAACGGGUUAUCACGGCAACGAUGCGUAGCCGACGUGAGAGACGGAUAGGCCACCCGGGAACUGAGACACGGUCCAGACUCCUGCGGGAGGCAGCAGUAGGGAAUCUUACGCAAUGGUCGAAAGCAUGACGGAGCAACGCCGCGUGAGUGAUGAAGGUCUUCGGAGCGUAAAACUCUGUUAUUAGGGAAGAACAAAUGUGUAAGUAACUAUGCACGUCUUGACGGUACCUAAUCAGAAAGCCACGGCUAACUACGUG